Long non-coding RNA from Gasterosteus aculeatus aculeatus (three-spined stickleback), 1252 nucleotides. Lineage: Eukaryota; Metazoa; Chordata; Actinopteri; Perciformes; Gasterosteidae. The record is from Ensembl.
GUCUUCCCUCUUUAUCACGUAUCAUAAUCUUUGUAAUGAAACUUUCCUUGGGAUAGUUCUUGAAUAUGUUUUUGAGUAUUUUUCGAAUACUUCUUUGCAUAUUUCUUGAAUAUUUCUUGAAUAUUUCUUGAUUUUUUUUUUUAAUCUUUUUUUUUCACCAACCACUUACCCACUGGUUCCCAAUGGGGAUCACUCCUUUUGUUUUCCUGGCAACUUUGGAAAAAGCAAGAUAUGUGGCUAGGCAGGUUGUCUUCCCUCUUUAUCACAAAUCAUAAUCUUUGUAAUGAAUCAUUCCUUUGAAUAGUUCUUAAAUAUGGUUUUAAAGAUUUUUCGAAGAUUCUUUUGAAUAUUUCUUGAAUAUUUCUUGAAUAUUUCUUGAUUUUUUUUUUUAAUCUUUUUUUUUCACCAACCACUUACCCACUGGUUCCCAAUGGGGAUCACUCCUUUUGUUUUCCUGGCAACUUUGGAAAAAGCAAGAUAUGAGGCUAGGCAGGUUGUCUUCCCUCUUUAUCACGUAUCAUAAUCUUUGUAAUGAAACUUUCCUUUGGAUAGUUCUUGAAUAUGGUUUUAAAGAUUUUUCGAAGAUUCUUUUGAAUAUUUCUUGAUUUUUUUUAAAUCUUUUUUUUUCACCAACCACUAACCCACUGGUUCCCAAUGGGGAUCACUCCUUUUGUUUUCCUGGCAACUUUGUACAAAGCAAGAUAUGUGGCAUACGCAGGUUUUCUUCCCUCUUCAUCACAUAUCAUGAUCUUUGUAAUGAAUCAUUCCUUUGAAUAGUUCUUGAAUAUGUUUUUGAAUAUUUUUCGAAUAUUUUUAAAGAUUUUUCGAAUAUUUUUUAAUAUUUAUUUUAAUAUUUCUUGAAUAUUUCUUGAUUUUUUUUAAAUCUUUUUUUUUCACCAACCACUAACCCACUGGUUCCCAAUGGGGAUCACUCCUUUUGUUUUCCUGGCAACUUUGUAAAAAGCAAGAUAUGUGGCAUACGCAGGUUUUCUUCCCUCUUCAUCCCAUAUCAUGAUCUUUGUAAUGAAUCAUUCCUUUGAAUAGUUCUUGAAUAUGUUUUUAAACAUUUUUCGAAGAUUCUUUUGAAUAUUUUUUGAAUAUUUUUCGAAUAUUUUUUAACAUUUCUUGUAAUAUUUCUUGAUUUUUUUUUUUUUUUUUUUCACCAACCACUAACCCACUGGUUCCCAAUGGGGAUCACUCCUUUUGUUUUCCUGGCAACUUUGUAAAAAGCAAGAUAUGUGGCAUACGCAGG